Suncus etruscus (white-toothed pygmy shrew) is the source of this 2131-nucleotide RNA transcript. It is a transcript of the gene named adaptor related protein complex 1 subunit sigma 2, with no coding region annotated. The record is from RefSeq and is a predicted model, not a curated record. The transcript is spliced from 6 exons. NCBI's taxonomy places the organism in Eukaryota, Metazoa, Chordata, Mammalia, Eulipotyphla, Soricidae.
CACUCAGCCCGCGGCUCCCCGCCUCCCGGCACCACGGCUUCCCUCCUGGAGCCCGGCGACGCGGGCUUCCCCAGCGCCGCCGCCGCCGCCGCCGUCUCGCCCACCGGCCGAGCCUCGCCGCGCCCGCGGCCCGCGGCCGCCAUGCAGUUUAUGUUACUUUUUAGUCGUCAGGGGAAGCUUCGCCUACAGAAAUGGUAUGUCCCACUGUCGGACAAAGAGAAGAAGAAGAUUACAAGAGAACUUGUUCAGACCGUCUUAGCCCGGAAGCCUAAAAUGUGCAGCUUUCUUGAAUGGCGUGAUCUGAAGAUUGUUUACAAAAGAUAUGCUAGUCUGUAUUUCUGCUGUGCGAUUGAGGAUCAGGACAAUGAACUGAUCACCCUGGAAAUCAUUCACCGUUACGUGGAAUUGCUCGACAAGUAUUUUGGCAGCGUGUGUGAGCUUGACAUCAUCUUUAAUUUCGAGAAGGCUUAUUUUAUUUUGGAUGAGUUUCUUUUGGGAGGCGAAGUUCAGGAAACAUCCAAGAAAAAUGUGCUCAAGGCCAUCGAGCAAGCCGACUUGCUGCAGGAGAGCCAGAAUGAAGAAUGGGGAGGUUUGUCUGAGGAUAUCUUAUGAUAAAGCACAAUCUCAGGCUUUAGGUCGUUUGACCCCCAACUUAUUUAUUGGUAACUAAGGAAGCUGAAACUCCACGUAGUGUCCUUGAAGAGAUCGGACUGACAUAAGUCUUCCCCCCCGUUGAGGACUUCCUGUGGCAUUUCACACACUGUAGAUGGUCACUGCCUCCAUGUCCAUGUUAGCUAACGGUGUAAGAUGGCGUCUUGUCAGUAUUACUGUUUUUGCUAAGCUGCUUCAUUCAGGCCUACACAAUUAUUUUAAAGGAACUUUGAUUACUGAAAUGAGAACUUGAAGGGACUUGAUACAAAUUAGAAUCAUACUGAAAAAUUACCUUUUCUGGAUCUUUUCAAGUUUAGAGGCCAGCUUCCCUUAAUCUGAUUAUGUGUGAAAGUGACACAAUUGGGAAUUAUACAUUUAUUAACCACUGUCUUUUGGCAAAGGACACACAGUUAAAAUUAUAAAGUGAAAUCUGGUUUUGUGAAACCAAAGGCUAGCAUGCUAGUGUAGUUUCAAUAUAUAUGUAGAUGAAAGAAAUUAGAAUAUCACAUAUAAAAUGCAAUUUUAACUCUUGAAACAACAAAACCCUCCAAAUUCAUACCAGAGACUCUUAUUGGAAGCUACAUACCUUCAAAGGGAAUUCACAAAUGACAAAAUGGGAAUGCUGCUCUUUAAGCCCCAAAGAUUUCUUAGGCGUUCAGAACUAGGGACAAGAACUAGAGAUCAAAUGGUUCAUAAUAAAGCACCUGUUUUAGUUAAUGUCAAGGAAUACUUGGGUCUUGAGAUAAAUGUGAAAUGAUCUUGUGGCAAAGUAUUAUUCUCUUCACCAAGCGUUAUGUCCUUGUUUAAAGCACGAGUCUUUCUUCUGGGGUGCUAGUUACCGCCAAAUUCAUUUUGCUGCCUUGCUGCUUCCCUUCACUUAGAAGUGCUGCCCACUUUAAGGCAUCUUCUUUCCUUCCAUGACACUGCCCAGUUAUCAAAAGUCUUAAUAAGUAUUAAAAGAGAAAAAUGCCUUUCAUUUAUGGGAAUGACGGAAUGAGGUAAAAUGACAUUAGUGGGCCCAGUAUUUUCAAAGCUAUCAAAUCGUUUCCAUGUCACUUUCAUAGAUCUUAAAUCUCUUGUAAACAUGUUUUCAUCAUUUCCAUUUCCAUUUGUAUUUGCUGGGCUGAAUUUAGCUUCAUUGUGAUUAUGACCAGCAUUUGGACCAUGUGAACAUGGUCUUAUCACAUCGCCAUUUGGUUGUUAUAAAUGUCCAACACAUACCACUGUAGUGUUUCUUCCUCCAAAAAUUUGUACGAGUGUGGGGAGCUGCUGAAAGAAGAACUUUUGAAUUCGUGUUCAGUAAAAUGUUGAAAAUUCACCUCCAUUUGAAUGUGGUUGUUAAAAGCACAUACAAGAUAAAUGGCGCAAGAUUUAAGGGAUAUUCAUGUACUCCCAGCUCAUUAAAAAUGUGGAUUCCAUGCUACUGAGAGCUUUAUCUACACAUUUAUUUUCAAUCAAUAAAUGCCGCUUUUAAAACUGA